GUAUAUAUAAUUUAAAUAAAAUAUUAAACUGUGACUUUAAUAAUGAGAGUUAAAAUCCCUCUAUAAACC
RNAcentral lists this transfer RNA (69 nucleotides) under Aneides hardii (Sacramento mountain salamander). RNAcentral's name for it is "tRNA-His". It matches the Rfam family "tRNA". From Rfam's summary of the family: Transfer RNA (tRNA) molecules are approximately 80 nucleotides in length. Their secondary structure includes four short double-helical elements and three loops (D, anti-codon, and T loops). The record is from RNAcentral. Lineage: Eukaryota; Metazoa; Chordata; Amphibia; Caudata; Plethodontidae.